GAUGAACGCUGGCGGCGUGCCUAAUACAUGCAAGUCGAGCGAACAGACGAGGAGCUUGCUCCUCUGACGUUAGCGGCGGACGGGUGAGUAACACGUGGAUAACCUACCUAUAAUACUGGGAUAACUUCGGGAAACCGGAGCUAAUACCGGAUAAUAUAUUGAACCGCAUGGUUCAAUAGUGAAAGACGGUUUUGCUGUCACUUAUAGAUGGAUCCGCGCCGCAUUAGCUAGUUGGUAAGGUAACGGCUUACCAAGGCAACGAUGCGUAGCCGACCUGAGAGGGUGAUCGGCCACACUGGAACUGAGACACGGUCCAGACUCCUACGGGAGGCAGCAGUAGGGAAUCUUCCGCAAUGGGCGAAAGCCUGACGGAGCAACGCCGCGUGAGUGAUGAGGGUCUUCGGAUCGUAAAACUCUGUUAUUAGGGAAGAACAAAUGUGUAAGUAACUAUGCACGUCUUGACGGUACCUAAUCAGAAAGCCACGGCUAACUACGUG
RNAcentral lists this ribosomal RNA (497 nucleotides) under uncultured bacterium. Its description in RNAcentral is "partial 16S ribosomal RNA". It matches the Rfam family "Bacterial small subunit ribosomal RNA", at positions 28 to 507 of the family's 1533-position model. The record is from RNAcentral.